GGUCGGUUCGGCCGGAUUUUACACAAGUGUUGCAUGGCUGUCGUCAGCUCGUGUCGUGAGAUGUUGGGUUAAGUCCCGCAACGAGCGCAACCCUCAUCCUUAGUUGCCACCAGGUAAUGCUGAGUACUUUAAGGAAACUGCCAGUGAUAAGCUGGAGGAAGGUGGGGAUGAUGUCAAGUCAUCAUGGCCUUUAUGGAGUGGGCUACACACGUGCUACAAUGGUGUCUACAAUGGGUUGCAAGGUGCGCAAGCCUAAGCUAAUCCCUAAAAGACAUCUCAGUUCGGAUUGUACUCUGCAACUCGAGUACAUGAAGUUGGAAUCGCUAGUAAUCGUGGAUCAGCAUGCCACGGUGAAUACGUUCUCGGGUCUUGUACACACUGCCCGUCACGCCAUGGGAAUUGGUUUCCUUCCAAAGCUCGUAUAGACUCAGUAUAAUAGACAUGUUAAU
Molecule: ribosomal RNA, 449 nt
Filed under: Wolbachia endosymbiont of Tamarixia dryi
Lineage: Bacteria; Pseudomonadati; Pseudomonadota; Alphaproteobacteria; Rickettsiales; Anaplasmataceae
Description: bacterial SSU rRNA
Rfam family: Bacterial small subunit ribosomal RNA
Source: RNAcentral